RNAcentral lists this ribosomal RNA (1735 nucleotides) under Escherichia coli. RNAcentral's name for it is "partial 23S ribosomal RNA". It matches the Rfam family "Bacterial large subunit ribosomal RNA", at positions 1213 to 2925 of the family's 2925-position model. The record is from RNAcentral. Lineage: Bacteria; Pseudomonadati; Pseudomonadota; Gammaproteobacteria; Enterobacterales; Enterobacteriaceae.
ACUAUGUGUUGUUGGGUAGGGGAGCGUUCUGUAAGCCUGUGAAGGUGGCCUGUGAGGGUUGCUGGAGGUAUCAGAAGUGCGAAUGCUGACAUAAGUAACGAUAAAGCGGGUGAAAAGCCCGCUCGCCGGAAGACCAAGGGUUCCUGUCCAACGUUAAUCGGGGCAGGGUGAGUCGACCCCUAAGGCGAGGCCGAAAGGCGUAGUCGAUGGGAAACAGGUUAAUAUUCCUGUACUUGGUGUUACUGCGAAGGGGGGACGGAGAAGGCUAUGUUGGCCGGGCGACGGUUGUCCCGGUUUAAGCGUGUAGGCUGGUUUUCCAGGCAAAUCCGGAAAACCAAGGCUGAGGCGUGAUGACGAGGCACUACGGUGCUGAAGUGACAAAUGCCCUGCUUCCAGGAAAAGCCUCUAAGCAUCAGGUAACAUCAAAUCGUACCCCAAACCGACACAGGUGGUCAGGUAGAGAAUACCAAGGCGCUUGAGAGAACUCGGGUGAAGGAACUAGGCAAAAUGGUGCCGUAACUUCGGGAGAAGGCACGCUGAUAUGUAGGUGAAGCGACUUGCUCGUGGAGCUGAAAUCAGUCGAAGAUACCAGCUGGCUGCAACUGUUUAUUAAAAACACAGCACUGUGCAAACACGAAAGUGGACGUAUACGGUGUGACGCCUGCCCGGUGCCGGAAGGUUAAUUGAUGGGGUUAGCGGUAACGCGAAGCUCUUGAUCGAAGCCCCGGUAAACGGCGGCCGUAACUAUAACGGUCCUAAGGUAGCGAAAUUCCUUGUCGGGUAAGUUCCGACCUGCACGAAUGGCGUAAUGAUGGCCAGGCUGUCUCCACCCGAGACUCAGUGAAAUUGAACUCGCUGUGAAGAUGCAGUGUACCCGCGGCAAGACGGAAAGACCCCGUGAACCUUUACUAUAGCUUGACACUGAACAUUGAGCCUUGAUGUGUAGGAUAGGUGGGAGGCUUUGAAGUGUGGACGCCAGUCUGCAUGGAGCCGACCUUGAAAUACCACCCUUUAAUGUUUGAUGUUCUAACGUUGGCCCCUAAUCGGGGUUGCGGACAGUGUCUGGUGGGUAGUUUGACUGGGGCGGUCUCCUCCUAAAGAGUAACGGAGGAGCACGAAGGUUGGCUAAUCCUGGUCGGACAUCAGGAGGUUAGUGCAAUGGCAUAAGCCAGCUUGACUGCGAGCGUGACGGCGCGAGCAGGUGCGAAAGCAGGUCAUAGUGAUCCGGUGGUUCUGAAUGGAAGGGCCAUCGCUCAACGGAUAAAAGGUACUCCGGGGAUAACAGGCUGAUACCGCCCAAGAGUUCAUAUCGACGGCGGUGUUUGGCACCUCGAUGUCGGCUCAUCACAUCCUGGGGCUGAAGUAGGUCCCAAGGGUAUGGCUGUUCGCCAUUUAAAGUGGUACGCGAGCUGGGUUUAGAACGUCGUGAGACAGUUCGGUCCCUAUCUGCCGUGGGCGCUGGAGAACUGAGGGGGGCUGCUCCUAGUACGAGAGGACCGGAGUGGACGCAUCACUGGUGUUCGGGUUGUCAUGCCAAUGGCACUGCCCGGUAGCUAAAUGCGGAAGAGAUAAGUGCUGAAAGCAUCUAAGCACGAAACUUGCCCCGAGAUGAGUUCUCCCUGAGACUUAGAGUCUCCUGAAGGAACGUUGAAGACGACGACGUUGAUAGGCCGGGUGUGUAAGCGCAGCGAUGCGUUGAGCUAACCGGUACUAAUGAACCGUGAGGCUUAACCUU